Long non-coding RNA from Beta vulgaris subsp. vulgaris (sugar beet), 507 nucleotides. RefSeq lists it as uncharacterized. The record is from RefSeq and is a predicted model, not a curated record. NCBI's taxonomy places the organism in Eukaryota, Viridiplantae, Streptophyta, Magnoliopsida, Caryophyllales, Amaranthaceae. The transcript has 2 exons.
CUAAAACUCAUUCUCAUCACCCUCUAACCUAAAACACAGAUCCUAUCACUCUCUCUCCUCUCUCUCACUCUCACCCUCUCUCUCUCUCUCUCUUAACCCUCAAACCCUAAAAAAAUUCGAGCAGUGUCAAAUGAAAAAGCGAACAACAAAAUUGAAAAACCUUCGUCCUCUAUUAUUUUCGAACAACGAAAUACUCUUUUUCAAGUGAAAAAGCGAAAAGCGAACAAAAUUGAAGAACAAGACAACGAAAACCACCAUGGAUGGUUGGGUCGCAUGCUCUCUCCUCGAAAACUUUGAUAGAUUUGUGUUUGGUUCUUCUCGUCUUCUUCGUCGGAAUAUGUCAAAAUAUCGGCAGUGCUUCGUCCUCGAUUAGUUUCAUUUUAGUUUUACAUAUUUUUCUACAUUUGCAAUGUAAUUUUUUUAUAUAUAGUUUACAUAUUUUCGUCUCUCAUUGUAAAUUUUGUAAUACAUAUUUGACAUUAUUAAUAUAAAAUACAUGUUUACUAA